RNAcentral lists this unclassified non-coding RNA (248 nucleotides) under Hevea brasiliensis (rubber tree). The record is from RNAcentral. Lineage: Eukaryota; Viridiplantae; Streptophyta; Magnoliopsida; Malpighiales; Euphorbiaceae.
GUUUUUACUAUUAAAAUUUUGCUUCAACCACCCACUGUAUUGCCCUCUCUUGCGGCCAUUCGAACUCGUUGCCAUUAUCUUUUCUUUUCUUUUCUUUUACUGUUCAUUUUUAUUUAGACCUUUGAUAUAUCUUGCUCUUUCUAGAAAGAGGGAUCUGUUGUUAUAUGUUAGUGUCCACAAACAAGUGGCAAUUCUAUGCUGCCGUUAUUCUUUAUUCCCCGUUUCGUCCACUUUUUGUAGUUAUUAUG